This 433-nucleotide unclassified non-coding RNA is filed under the name soil metagenome. RNAcentral's name for it is "partial contains 5.8S ribosomal RNA, internal transcribed spacer 2, and large subunit ribosomal RNA". The stretch from base 1 to 120 matches the Rfam family "5.8S ribosomal RNA", at positions 35 to 154 of the family's 154-position model. The record is from RNAcentral.
GAUGAAGAACGUAGCGAAAUGCGAUACGUAAUGUGAAUUGCAGAAUUCAGUGAAUCAUCGAAUCUUUGAACGCAUAUUGCGCUCUCUGGUAUUCCGGAGAGCAUGCUUGUUUGAGUAUCAGUAAACACCUCAACUCCCUUUUCUUUUUUGAAAUGGGAGCUGGACUUGAGUGAUCCCAACACUUUUCUCACUGGAAAGUGGCGGGUCACUUGAAAUGCAGGUGCAGCUGGACUUUUCUCUGAGCUAUAAGCAUAUCUAUUUAGUCUGCCUAAAAAACAGAUUAUUACCUUUGCUGCAGCUAACAUAAAGGAGAUGAGUUCUUGUGCUGACUGAUGCAGGAUUCACAGAGACAGCUUUGCGGCUGACUUUGUAAACUCGAUCUCAAAUCAAGUAAGACUACCCGCUGAACUUAAGCAUAUCAAUAAGCGGAGGG